Lathyrus oleraceus (garden pea) is the source of this 1272-nucleotide long non-coding RNA. RefSeq lists it as uncharacterized. The record is from RefSeq and is a predicted model, not a curated record. NCBI's taxonomy places the organism in Eukaryota, Viridiplantae, Streptophyta, Magnoliopsida, Fabales, Fabaceae. The transcript is spliced from 6 exons.
CGUAAUAAUAAAUGUUAAUCGAGUAAAAGAAAUGCAUAUGGAGUCAAAAAAUACGAUACGUUUUCGCGUUACCAAUACCAAACCCUAAGUCUUGAAGCCUGAAAUAGGCGAGAAUCGAAGGGAAUUGGAGCCUCUUGCGUUAGGGCUUCCACUACUCCGGGUGAUUACACACGCCUAUGACAAAAAUAUUAAGAAAGAAAGGUGGAUCGAGCCUACCUGUAGAACGGAGAUCUAAUCUGGAAGGCGUUGAAGAUAGAAGACGGCGACGUAGACCAAGGAUGGCGGCGUUUCCGAACUUCAAUGAGGAGCUCUAAACAACAAUCCAGAAUGAGCUUUGGAGUGAAAGUAAGAGAAAGGGGCAGCGAAAAUUGCAAAGGAGGGUGAGAAUCCAAAAAUUCGAUCCUUUGUGAAUGAGGCUUGUUAAUUAUUUGCAGGGUUAUGUACAUUGAAGCUCUAGCUUGGCAUGCUGCAGAGCAAAAUGCAUAGCGGGUUUUUUGCAAAUGACUUCAUGAUGGUCAAGGAACUCUAGACCGAUACAGCAGGUGUAAGCAGGUCUCACUUUGGAUUUACGAGGCAGCCAGCACAGAUUUUUGCAGACAUUACCUAUGUUGUAAUGGCUAUUCCAUUAUUCAGAGGUGGUAAAUAUGGGGGAAAUGAAGCGCUCCAAGUCGUUUAUGAUUGCCUCGAGGGUAAUAUCAAGCGGAUAGGUGACAAAAAUCUGGGGCCAAACCACGUCUCGACAACAACUCUGAGGAUUGGUACGUAACGUCGUUGGGAGGAUCAUACAUGGUGACGCACCGUUCUUGUUUGAUGGAAACUCUGUCAAUUUGUUUGAUUUUCAAGGCAUGUUAAUUGGCGUGUGGAUUUGCUUGCUUGUGGUCGUAUGUGUUUGGCUACCAUGACUUUGGUUGGACUGUUUGUGGAAUGGAUAGAAUAGAUCAUGGCAGGAUGUCAUAUGGAGCUAUUAUCAUGGACAUGUUGGCAUGAAUCAAGGCGGCUAGGAACUUCUACGGACCAUUGGAAAUGGAGAAGACUUUGAACUUUGCUUUAAUGGUGAUGUGGUUUGAAAUGGCGAUGUACACAAUUUAACAUUAGGUCAUAGAUGCAAUGGCAUGUUUGUAUUGUAACUUGGUUGAAUAAGGUAAUGAAUGAAUUUGCUUGUGAUUGUAAGUUGGAUAUUUAAUGGUUAAUCGAAUUGGAUGUGUAUCAUGGCAAUUGGUUGUAAUGUAUGAUUUUGUUUUGAAUGGAAAUCAUAUUGGUUUGGACAUUGAA